UCCAGACUCCUACGGGAGGCAGCAGUGGGGGAUAUUGCACAAUGGGGGGAACCCUGAUGCAGCGACGCCGCGUGGGUGAAGGAGCGUUUCGGCGCGUAAAGCCCUAUCGGCAGGGAAGAAGGAGGACGGUACCUGACUAAGAAGCCCCGGCUAACUACGUGCCAGCAGCCGCGGUAAUACGUAGGGGGCAAGCGUUAUCCGGAUUUACUGGGUGUAAAGGGGGCGCAGACGGCAGCGCAAGCCAGGAGUGAAAGCCCGGGGCCCAACCCCGGGACUGCUCUUGGAACUGCGCGGCUGGAGUGCAGGAGGGGCAGGCGGAAUUCCUGGUGUAGCGGUGAAAUGCGUAGAUACCAGGAGGAACACCGGUGGCGAAGGCGGCCUGCUGGACUGCGACUGACGUUGAGGCCCGAAAGCGUGGGGAGCAAACAGGAUUAGAUACCCCUGUA
This 446-nucleotide ribosomal RNA is filed under the name uncultured bacterium. Its description in RNAcentral is "bacterial SSU rRNA". It matches the Rfam family "Bacterial small subunit ribosomal RNA", at positions 330 to 792 of the family's 1533-position model. The record is from RNAcentral.